GUGCUUGUUUAGCAGCACAUACACUAAAGAUUGGAACAAGGCAGAGAACAUGAGCAUGGUCCCUGUCCAAUAACACCACAGUUCAUGAAACAGUCCAUAUUCUU
Rattus norvegicus (Norway rat) is the source of this 104-nucleotide small nuclear RNA. Lineage: Eukaryota; Metazoa; Chordata; Mammalia; Rodentia; Muridae. The record is from Ensembl.